Dioscorea cayenensis subsp. rotundata (Guinea yam) is the source of this 1299-nucleotide long non-coding RNA. RefSeq lists it as uncharacterized. The record is from RefSeq and is a predicted model, not a curated record. Lineage: Eukaryota; Viridiplantae; Streptophyta; Magnoliopsida; Dioscoreales; Dioscoreaceae. The transcript has 3 exons.
UGUUGUUGUGAUGUUCUUAAUAUCUAGUCUUUUUUUACUUUGAUGAUCAUAAAAGUUCAAGAGAGUUUUCUUUCUUAAUUUCUUCUCAAACUCCACUCUUUGUGAUUUGCUUGUUGUUGUUGUUCUUCUUCUUCUUCACUAAAGUUUUCAAAACCUUUUUAUGUUCUUGUGGUGUUCUUUCUUGUCUUUUUCACUUUGAUUAUCAUAAAGGUUCAAGAGAGUUCAACAAUUCCUCUUCUUUAUUAUCUCUAGAUCUCAUCUUUAAUUAAACAAGUGAUGAUUUCAGCUCAAAGAAAGCUCUAUAUAUGUGUGAUCUCUCUUGAGGCCGUGACUCAUCUUAUGAGGUAUGUGAAAUCUUUUUAACAACUCUUGAUCUAUUUAACAAAACAUAUUCCCAUCUUGUAAUUUGAUUGAAUCAAACAAGUUAAUUUGGUAUUAUUGCAUAUCUUGCCCAAGAGUACUUAAUUUUGAAGAGAAAUCAAGGAACAAGUCUUACUUUAGAUAUCCUUUAAGGAAGAGAAAUCAUCAAGUUAAAUGCUUCAUUGAAAGUAAUAUUGUCUAGUUUUGUAUAUAUAACUAGUGAUUUACAAGUGAAUGUUCAAGUGUUUAAUUACUUGGUCAUUAUGAAGAUCUUGGUUUAGUGCUUGUAAUUGAGUUGGUUAACCUAAAACAAACCGAAGAGAUUACCCAUAAACAGAAACAUAUAUAUGUAUAUAAAUAUGUCAAUGAUUUGGUAUUUCCAAAGAAAAAUUGAUAAAAAGAUAUAAACCCUAGUGAUUUCGGUGAGACUAUAUUAAUUUUCACCAUUGAAUUGCAGAAAGAAAGUUGCAUUUCCAUUUGUCAAGAUAAGAAUCAAGAUAGAAACUAAUUAUGUUUGCUUUUGAAGAACUUAAUGUGAAACAAAAAACUGUGUCACAACUUCAUUGAUGAUUUUUCUUCAUUUCUUUGAAUGGAAUGCAUCCUUUUAUUUUGUAAGUACACUUCUAACCAGUAAGUACUAUCUUUGUUUUGCUACAUACUUAAUUAUUAAUGUGUCAAUAAAUUCUAGUGUUUAUAUAUAUAUAUAUGUGUGUGUGUGUGUGUGUGACUUGUUUCUUUUGUUAGAGAAGAAGUUAAUUGGUGAUUUGAAAGUUUAACUUGUUAAGAUGCUCUUGGAUAUGAAUCAAGGAAAACAAUACGAAGAAUUUUAAUUGUAGAACUUGAUAGCUAGGUGAGAGUAAAACAUGGGUUGAUGAACUUCCGAACACUUUCAUGUGUUUAGUUCAUGGAAGUGAUCAUGAAAGUGUGAAAUCGAAACAA